GUGGAACCAUAAAUUAUGGAGCAGCGGUGCCGUGGUGAAGGCAAGCAUUGUAUUCCUUCCUGAGUUCAUAUCAACUUUAAUCUUCCUUCUCCCGCAUUUCAUCAUUGCCUUCAGCUUUCUUCUCUGUCUUUCAGCGUUUUCUCUCAUCCGAAAGAAGAAAUGGCCGAUGCAAUCCUGUAUGGCGUUGUACAGAAGAUCAUUGAAAGCUUGGGCUCCUCCACUCUCAAACAGAUUGGAUCGAUCUGGGGUGUCAAAAAUGAUCUCGAAAAAAUGAACAACACUGUUCGCACUAUUCAAGCUGUACUUCAGGAUGCAGAGGAGCAGCAGGUCCAGAACCACCAAGCCAAGCACUGGCUCAACAGGCUCAGAGAUGUAGUUUUUGAUGCGGAUGACUUGCUGAGCGAGUUCUCCACUCAUGUGUUUCGGCGUAAGGUGAUGGGUGGUGAUAAAAUGGCAAAGAAGGUACGUAUUUUCUUUUCAAGUUCAAACCAACUCGUUUUUAGUCUUAACAUGGCUUGCAAAAUAAAAGCUAUGAGGGAGAGGCUUAAUGAUAUAUCAAAUGAUAGACACCAAUUUCAGUUGAAGUUGGUAGAUUGUCCUUUAGAGAGACGAGUUGUGACUAGGGGGAGGGAUCAAACUCACUCUUUUGUACCUGAUGAAGAUGUUAUCGGGAGAGAAAAGGAUAAGCAAGCCAUCAUAGAUCUGUUGUUGGACUUUGAUGUGGAAGAUAAUGUUUCAUUCAUAUCAAUAGUGGGAAUUGGUGGGCUAGGAAAAACCACACUGGCCCAAUAUGUAUUCAAUGAUGAGAAGGUCCAAACUAAGUUUGAGUUGAAGAUGUGGGUGUGUGUAUCUGAUGACUUUGAUGUUAAAAAAAUUGUUGAAAAGAUAAUUGAAUCUGCAACUAAAAGCAAACCUGAGAAUCUUGAGAUGGAUCUACUGCAAAAUAAACUUCGGGAACAACUCAACCAAAAGAAGUAUUUACUUGUAUUGGAUGAUGUCUGGAAUGAGGAUAGUGAAAAUUGGCAAAAUUUGAAAAUUUUAUUAAUGGGUGGUGUAAAGGGAAGUAAGGUGGUGAUAACUACACGAUCCAACAAGGUUGUGGAGAUUACUAGUACCUCAUCCUAUUUUCUAAAGGGCUUGUCAAGGGAUCAAUCCUGGUCAUUAUUAAAGAAAAUGGCAUUUAAAAAAGGCCAGGAGACCAUCAAUUCUAACCUCGAAGCAAUUGGGAUGGACAUAGUAGAAAAAUGUCGAGGAGUGCCUCUUGCUAUAAGGACGAUAGGAAAAGUCCUAUUCUUCAAAAAAACUGAAGCUGAGUGGUCAUACAUCAAGAAUACUAAACUCACAGAUGUAACUGAAUUAAAAGAUGGUAUUAUGCCGAUUUUAAAAUUGAGUUACGAUUAUCUCCCAUCACAUUUAAAAUGUUGUUUUGCAUACUGUUCAUUGUUUCCCAAAGAUUAUUUGAUUGAUAAGUUGACAUUGAUACAAUUAUGGAUAUCACAAGGUUUUGUCCAAUCAUCAGAGGAGAGCCAUGAAGUAGAGCAUGUUGCUAAUAAGUACUUCAUGGAGCUACUUUGGAGAUCCUUCUUCCAAGAAGCAGAAGAAGAUGGAGGCGGGAAUAGAAGGUUUAAAAUGCAUGAUUUAAUCCAUGAUCUUGCACAGUAUGUAUCAGAGACUAAUUGUACACUGGUUGAUACUAGUGCAAAAAAUGUGAAAGAAACAGGACACCAUCUAUCAUUUCCAUUUUAUAAUGUGUCAUUCUUUGAGGAGAAUUUAAACACGUUGGUUAAAGCAAACAAGAUACGGACAUUUAUAUUGGCAUAUAACGAGUGGGAAUAUGAUCAGGGAACAAUUGAAGAAUCAACUCUCAAAAAACUUAUUUCUACUUUUAGAUACUUGCAUGCAUUAGACCUACAUGGUUUAAAUAUGAAGAUGUUGCCAAAUACCAUAAGUACUUUGAUGCAUCUAAAGUACCUUGACCUUUCCUCUAAUGAUAUUGAGGUUCUCCCUAAUUCUAUUACAAAAUUAGUGAAUUUGCAAACAUUAAAGCUCUCUUCAUGUGAAAAGCUUAGGGAGUUACCAAAUACCAUAGGUACUUUGAUGCAUCUAAAGUACCUUGACCUUUCCUCUACUGAUAUUGAGGUUCUCCCUAGUUCUAUUACAAAAUUGGUGAAUUUGCAAACAUUAAAGCUCUGCUUAUGUAAAAAGCUUAGGGUGUUACCGGUAGAUAUUCAAAAACUGGUCAGCCUUAAGCACCUUGACGUUUCCUGUGAUGAUUUUGAAUCUAAUGAUAUUGAGGCUCUCCCUAGUUCUAUUACAAAAUUGGUGAAUUUGCAAACAUUAAAACUCAGUAAGUGUAAAAAACUUAAGGAGUUACCGGUAGAUAUUCAAAAAUUGGUCCGCCUCAAGCAUCUUGACUUAGAAGAUUGUGAGAAUUUGACUCAUAUGCCACAUGGAUUAGGGCAAUUGACUUCUCUUCAAACAUUAAACUUAUUUGUUUUGAGUGAGGGUCCUGUAGGUUCUUCCAAGCAUUGUGGUGGGCUAGCGGAAUUAAACAAGCUAAAUGACUUGAGAGGAAAAUUAGUGAUUAAAAAUUUGGCACGGGUGAAAGAUGCCACCCCAGAAUUCAAAGCUGCAAAUUUGAAGGAGAAGCAAUGUCUCAGUGAGUUGAUAUUAAAGUGGAAUUCAAAAGGUGAUGAUGAAAAUUCCAUGGAUAGCCUCCGCCCACACGAAAGUUUAAAAUCUUUGUCAGUGUAUUGGUACAUGGGUGUGAGAGUUUCAAGUUGGCUUUCAUUCUUAACAAAUCUGGUCAAAUUAGAUAUAGUCGGAUGUGAGAAGUGCCAAUAUUUGCCACCGUUGUAUCGACUCCCAUCUCUCCGAAAACUAAGUCUUAUAAAUAUGAAUGGUCUGGAGUACAUGACAGACAGGGAUAUGAAUGAUGAGAUAUCUGCUUCACUGGCAUCACCAUCAACAUUUUUCCCAUCCCUUGAGAGACUCUAUAUCAGUCUUUGCCUCAAUCUAAAGGGAUGGUGGAGGAGUGUGGAUAAGGGGAAUGAGGCAACAACGACAUCAACAAUAUCAUCAUCAUCAACUAAUCACUAUCACCAACACAUGCCGUACUUUCCGCGUCUUUCUUCUUUUUAUUUCCUUAAUUGCCCUAAGAUGACUUGCAUGCCGCUAUUUCCAAAUCUUGAAGGAAUUCUUGAAUUGAGUAAUAGCAGUUUGAAGGCAUUGGAAGAGACAAUAGAGAUGAAUAAUAGGGGAGGAAGGGCUUCUUCAUUUCCGUCCUCUUCCUCUUCCUCUUCCUCCUCCUUCUCCCCUCCUCUUUCCAAAUUAAAGAAAUUGAAGUUGAGGAAUAUAGAGGAGUUGGAGUCUCUGCCAGAGGAGUGGUUUAAAAACCUAACUUCUCUUGAGAGAUUAGAGAUUGGGCAGUUCCCCAAUUUGACGUCACUUCCCGAAGGGAUGAGUCACCUCACCUCUUUACAGAUCCUGUGUAUCACCAAUUGUCCCAAUCUGCCGUCACUUCCCGAAGGGAUGAGUCACCUCACCUCUUUACAGAGACUGAGUAUUCAGGGCUGUCCCCAAUUAAAGCAAAGAUGCGAGAAGGAAAAUGGAGAGGAUUGGGAUAAGAUUUCUCACAUCCCAAAUCUUAGAAUCUCAGAUGGGAUAAGAUUUCUCCUCUCUCCAAAUUAUCAUCAGAGAUUGAAAAGUUGAACUACUGCAUACGCUUCCCUGAAAGAACAAGAGGAUUUCAAAUGGGAAGACAGGAAAGAAGAAGAAAGCUUAUUCUUGACGUUUCAAACAUGGAUGAUGAAAAGACAAAAAAGUAGCACCGGGAUAUUUUGAAGUGCAAAGAAAAUUUUUGAAAGAGUGCCAGCAGGAAACAGGAGAUGAUUGCUAAAAACUUCUAACAUCCUAGUUUUCCUUCUAAUGCUCUAAAAUCCUCCAGUUUGAGAUCAACUUGAGCUUUAGUCUUAGAGAGAGACUGAUUGAAGGUUUGAGAAGAGUGUGAUUUCCAUGUGCAGUGGUUCUAAGCGGAAAACCUUGUGAAACAGGUUUCAUCAUGGGCAGUGAAUUUGAGAAACAAGACAGCAACAUCAUUUCAAUUUUUCUUGAAUUAUUGCGCUUUGAUGAUUUGAUUGUUUUUAAAAGUUGUAUGGAAGAAGAAUGUCAUUAUAUUGAUGAGGGAAGCUUGUGGUAUGGGAGGAGAAUUGGGUCAAAGAUGAUGGGAUUUAAAGAGAAGAUGACGGGCUUCUGCACUUCCUUUUGUUGCUGCCGUGGACUUUGCCAUUUCAAGUGAGGUAAGUGACGCAGAUGGCUAUCUUGAGAGAACAUUCGUGAGUCCAGCUUCUUUGAGGGCUGGUAACCUUAUUCAUGGAUGGAUGGAGGAUGCUGUUGGGUAGACCAGUUGGGCAAUUUACACGGUCGAGUUGAGGGAAUGAAUGCAAGUGCUGAGGCUCUGUUGAUUGGUUCUCAUCUGGCAUAAUCUCUGCAUUAUCUGCUCUGAAGGUUUUGAAUGUCAAUGGGACG
Quercus robur (English oak) is the source of this 4527-nucleotide RNA transcript. It is a transcript of the gene named allantoate deiminase 1-like, with no coding region annotated. The record is from RefSeq and is a predicted model, not a curated record. The transcript is spliced from 9 exons. Lineage: Eukaryota; Viridiplantae; Streptophyta; Magnoliopsida; Fagales; Fagaceae.